This 467-nucleotide ribosomal RNA is filed under the name uncultured bacterium. Its description in RNAcentral is "partial 16S ribosomal RNA". It matches the Rfam family "Bacterial small subunit ribosomal RNA", at positions 28 to 507 of the family's 1533-position model. The record is from RNAcentral.
GAUGAACGCUGGCGGCGUGCUUAACACAUGCAAGUCGAACGGAAAGGCUCCUGCUUGCAGGGGUACUCGAGUGGCGAACGGGUGAGUAACACGUGGGUGAUCUGCCCUGCACUUCGGGAUAAGCCUGGGAAACUGGGUCUAAUACCGGAUAGGACCACAUUUUGGAUGGUGUGGUGGAAAGUUUUUCGGUGUGGGAUGAGCUCGCGGCCUAUCAGCUUGUUGGUGGGGUAAUGGCCUACCAAGGCGUCGACGGGUAGCCGGCCUGAGAGGGUGUACGGCCACAUUGGGACUGAGAUACGGCCCAGACUCCUACGGGAGGCAGCAGUGGGGAAUAUUGCACAAUGGGCGCAAGCCUGAUGCAGCGAUGCCGCGUGGGGGAUGACGGCCUUCGGGUUGUAAACUCCUUUCGCUAGGGACGAAGCGUUUUUGUGACGGUACCUGGAGAAGAAGCACCGGCUAACUACGUG